This is a long non-coding RNA of Mangifera indica (mango), 650 nucleotides long. RefSeq lists it as uncharacterized. The record is from RefSeq and is a predicted model, not a curated record. The transcript has 5 exons. Lineage: Eukaryota; Viridiplantae; Streptophyta; Magnoliopsida; Sapindales; Anacardiaceae.
AAAGUUUUUUUUAACAUGGACACUUCAUGAUGGUUGAACAAAAGGUAACAUUAUCUUAUUCAAGCUAAAAAACCCACCAGCCCAUUGUGAAAGAAGAAGAAGCGGGGCAAAAACCGCGCCAGUAAACAGGGCAAACUGUCUUUGAUUUGUAGUUAUAUUGAGGCCAGAGUUUAACUAGUGAAUGCCUUAAUUGAGGCGAAAUAGAAGACAUGGCAGAUGGGUCAUCCUCCUCCGAUUCCUUCCAUCUACUCAAAGAAGUAAAAAGCCACGAGGUUGCCAUUGCUGAGCUUAAUUGUCUUCCGUCAUCUCGGACUGUCUAUCAGAAGAAUGCAAACAUAUUUUUUCGUACAACUAUUCAGAAAGCAACAGCAUUGGAGCAGAAACAUCUUGAAGCGGCCAAACGUAAGCUAGAUUCACUGAAUGCUUCUUGAUUUCACUUGGCCUAUUACAACUUUAUGUUGAACCUGCCGGUACGUUUGAGACUAGAACAAUUUAGCUCCAACAGCAGAUGCUUUGAUUCUUCAUCACUCUCAGGGAGCAUGCUCUAGCCCCAUCUAAAACCUGUAAUUUCUUAGAAUUCCUGGAUUCAACCCAUGUAUGAACUAUUUGACACAAUUUCUUUGGCUGUGAUGAUUUGAUGUUUUAGAGUU